Astatotilapia calliptera (eastern happy) is the source of this 1094-nucleotide long non-coding RNA. The record is from Ensembl. Lineage: Eukaryota; Metazoa; Chordata; Actinopteri; Cichliformes; Cichlidae.
AAACUUUUCUCUUCAAACAAGCCUUUUGUUGAUCUACGUAUUUUAUAUUCUUUACAUUAUUUACAUUUGAUCUUUUACAUUGUGUAUAAUGUCUAUUGAUUGUAUUGUUUAUUUUAAUAUUUGUGUACAGCGCUUUGCGACUGCCUGUCUGUGAAAAGCGCUUAAUAAAUAUUUGUAUAAUUUAGUUGUUCACACAAAGCAUAAAGGUAAAAAAAAAAAAAACGAUAUAUACAGUGUUAUCUUCAUUUUAGAUUUCAAAAAGUAUUUGCAGCUCCCAGUGUUUUCUUUUGUGUGGAAAUCAGGUCCAAGUGGCUCUUUGGGUGUUAAAGGUUGCAGACCCCUGCCCUACACCACACCUUCAGGCGCACCGAGCUGCAGGUGAUGUCUUAAGGACAAGCCCGGAAAUUAAACUAUCAGACAAGAACUAUGAAGCAUUCAAAGAACCCUGUACUUCUGACUGCUGUAAAUCUUACCAGGGUUACAUAGAGGCUGUGAGCUAUCGUCUAAUUCCUUUGUUUUACAUCCUACAGCUUGCUGGGUGUAUCUAGUUUAAAACCAAAAUAAACCUAAAUAGAUGAUUUUAAAGCCAGUUUACAACAAGCUCUUCAAUGAGUGUGUUUAAUGAAAAUGGUUUGUGGGGACUGAGACACCCGCCCCCGUGCCAUUUUACGCUAAAUGCUAAUGUUUCACCAAUCGCCUGUUGUUGGACUGAUGAAGGCCAGUGGGGAAUUUUUUUUUUUUUUUUUUUUUUAUUAACUUUAUGCUUAUAUGCUUUUUAACAAAAGCAAGGGGGGGGGAAAGGGCUGAUCAUAGCCUCUGGCUGUUUGCUUGGUAUCAAAAUGGUCAUUUAUCUCUGCAUGGUAGCUUCUUUGCAUUGUUUGCUUCUCUCACCACAGACAGUGUGAAUUUAACAUUAACAGUAUGCAGUCCCAAAGCAAAUUGAGGUCUUUUGCAUUAGAGGUGGCUGUGUUAAGAUGGGGGUUAGAAGGCAACAGAAAUAAAUCCAGCCACCCAUCAAACAGCUGAGGAAAACCCACUGACAGAGCAACAGCUGCACUGUUUUCUGCAGACUCCUUAAUUGUCUUUAAAUUAAC